Molecule: ribosomal RNA, 415 nt
Filed under: uncultured bacterium
Lineage: Bacteria
Description: bacterial SSU rRNA
Rfam family: Bacterial small subunit ribosomal RNA
Source: RNAcentral
GGAAUAUUGCGCAAUGGGCGAAAGCCUGACGCAGCGACGCCGCGUGGGGGAUGAAGGUCUUCGGAUUUUAAACCCCUUUCGGGAGGGAAGAUGGAAUGGGGUAACCCCUGCGGACGGUACCCCCAGAAGCAGCCACGGCUAACUUCGGGCGAGCAGCCGCGGUAAUACUAAGGUGGCAAGCGUUGUUCGGAUUCACUGGGCGUACAGGGAGCGUAGGCGGUUGGGUAAGCCCUCCGUGAAAUCUCCAGGCUCAACCUGGAAAGUGCAGAGGGGACUGCUUAGCUAGAGGAUGGGAGAGGAGCGCGGAAUUCCCGGUGUAGCGGUGAAAUGCGUAGAGAUCGGGAGGAAGGCCGGUGGCGAAGGCGGCGCUCUGGAACAUUUCUGACGCUGAGGCUCGAAAGCGUGGGGAGCAAAC